Molecule: non-coding RNA, 154 nt
Organism: Pseudonaja textilis
Lineage: Eukaryota; Metazoa; Chordata; Lepidosauria; Squamata; Elapidae
Source: RefSeq, a predicted model, not a curated record
AUCUCAACUUUGCUGUGGGUUGGUAUGUUAAAGAGGUGCAGCAGCUUUACGAGGGUUCAGUGGAAGGAGGGGAAAAACGAACAGAAGCAACGAGACCUGCUCAUAGAUUUCAAUAGCUUUCUGGUACUGCUCCAGCUGAGCUGCAUAGGUGGCC